This 82-nucleotide transfer RNA is filed under the name Capitella teleta. RNAcentral describes it as "tRNA-Phe for anticodon GAA". It matches the Rfam family "tRNA". Rfam says of the family: Transfer RNA (tRNA) molecules are approximately 80 nucleotides in length. Their secondary structure includes four short double-helical elements and three loops (D, anti-codon, and T loops). Lineage: Eukaryota; Metazoa; Annelida; Polychaeta; Capitellidae. The record is from Rfam by way of RNAcentral.
GCGGCUGUGACCGAGUGGUUAAGGUGAUCGACUGAAAAUCGAUUGGGCUUUGCCCGCGCGGGUUCGAACCCCGCCAGCUGCG